Molecule: ribosomal RNA, 513 nt
Filed under: uncultured bacterium
Lineage: Bacteria
Description: partial 16S ribosomal RNA
Rfam family: Bacterial small subunit ribosomal RNA
Source: RNAcentral
GAUGAACGCUGGCGGCGUGCCUAAUACAUGCAAGUCGAACGCGCAGCGAAAGGUGCUUGCACCUUUCAAGCGAGUGGCGAACGGGUGAGUAACACGUGGAUAACCUGCCUCAAGGCUGGGGAUAACAUUUGGAAACCGAUGCUAAUACCGAAUAAAACUUAGUAUCGCAUGCUACAAAGUUAAAAGGCGCUACUGCGUCACCUAGAGAUGGAUCCGCGGUGCAUUAGUCAGUUGGUGGGGUAAAGGCUUACCAAGACGAUGAUGCAUAGCCGAGUUGAGAGACAGAGCGGCCACAUUGGGACUGAGACACGGCCCAAACUCCUACGGGAGGCUGCAGUAGGGAAUCUUCCACAACGGGCGCAAGCCUGAUGGAGCAACGCCGCGUGUGUGAUGAAGGCUUUCGGGUCGUAAAGCACUGUUGUAUGGGAAGAAAUGAUAAAAUAGGGAAUGAUUUUAGUUUGACGGUACCGUACCAGAAAGGGACGGCUAAAUACGUGCCAGCCGCCGCGGUAA